GACGAACGCUGGCGGCGUGCUUAACACAUGCAAGUCGAACGGAAAGGCCUGCUUUCCCUUGUGGAUUGCGGGUACUCGAGUGGCGAACGGGUGAGUAACACGUGAGUGAUCUGCCCCCAACUUGGGUAUAAGCCUGGGAAACUGGGUCUAAUUCCCGAUAGGACUGCAGGGUGGUGCCUGUGGUGGAAAACGAUUUUCUAGUGGUCGGGGAUGAGCUCGCGGCCUAUCAGCUUGUUGGUGGGGUAAUGGCCUACCAAGGCGGCGACGGGUAGCCGGCCUGGGAGGGUGGACGGCCACAUUGGGACUGAGAUACGGCCCAGACUCCUACGGGAGGCAGCAGUGGGGAAUAUUGCACAAUGGGCGGAAGCCUGAUGCAGCGACGCCGCGUGGGGGAUGACGGCCUUCGGGUUGUAAACUCCUUUCGACCGCGAGGAAGCCACCUGGUUGGAAGGGUGGUGACGGUAGUGGUAGAAGAAGCACCGGCUAACUACGUG
Molecule: ribosomal RNA, 494 nt
Filed under: uncultured bacterium
Lineage: Bacteria
Description: partial 16S ribosomal RNA
Rfam family: Bacterial small subunit ribosomal RNA
Source: RNAcentral